AAGACUAUGAUUUGAGGGAUCAUUUUUGAAGUUUUUUAACUAGAGGUUUCUCUGGUCCUGUCGAGCACUGGAAGACACAAGGAGGAGCCAGAGAAUCCUCUUCUGAGCACAGCCCGUUCUAGGUGUUACUUUUGUAACUGCCUUUUAUGACUGAUGGUUAUUUUUCUCUUCCCUUGGAAGAUCAAGGGGGAGAAGAUGCAGUCUGAGUGG
RNAcentral lists this small nucleolar RNA (210 nucleotides) under Sorex araneus (European shrew). Its description in RNAcentral is "Small nucleolar RNA U3 (ENSSARG00000017417.1)". It matches the Rfam family "Small nucleolar RNA U3". From Rfam's summary of the family: Small nucleolar RNAs (snoRNAs) are involved in the processing and modification of rRNA in the nucleolus. There are two main classes of snoRNAs: the box C/D class, and the box H/ACA class. U3 snoRNA is a member of the box C/D class. The record is from RNAcentral. Lineage: Eukaryota; Metazoa; Chordata; Mammalia; Eulipotyphla; Soricidae.